AGUGAACGCUGGCGGCAGGCCUAAUACAUGCAAGUCGAACGGCAGCACAGCAGAGCUUGCUCUGUGGGUGGCGAGUGGCGGACGGGUGAGGAAUACGUGGGAAUCUGCCCAGUCGUGGGGAUAACGUAGGGAAACUUACGCUAAUACCGCAUGCGCCUUCGGGGAAGCGGGACCGUUCGGCCUGGCGCGAUUGGAUGAGCCACGUCGGAUUAGCUAGUUGGCGGGGUAAAGGGCCCACCAAGGCGACGAUCCGUAGCUGGUCUGAGAGGAUGAUCAGCCACACUGGAACUGAGACACGGUCCAGACUCCUACGGGAGGCAGCAGUAGGGAAUAUUGGACAAUGGGCGCAAGCCUGAUCCAGCCAUGCCGCGUGAGUGAAG
RNAcentral lists this ribosomal RNA (380 nucleotides) under uncultured bacterium. Its description in RNAcentral is "bacterial SSU rRNA". It matches the Rfam family "Bacterial small subunit ribosomal RNA", at positions 30 to 410 of the family's 1533-position model. The record is from RNAcentral.